This 327-nucleotide ribosomal RNA is filed under the name uncultured Erythrobacter sp. RNAcentral describes it as "bacterial SSU rRNA". It matches the Rfam family "Bacterial small subunit ribosomal RNA", at positions 97 to 441 of the family's 1533-position model. The record is from RNAcentral. Lineage: Bacteria; Pseudomonadati; Pseudomonadota; Alphaproteobacteria; Sphingomonadales; Erythrobacteraceae.
GGCGCACGGGUGCGUAACGCGUGGGAACCUGCCCUUAGGUUCGGAAUAACUCAGAGAAAUUUGAGCUAAUACCGGAUAAUGUCUUCGGACCAAAGAUUUAUCGCCUUUGGAUGGGCCCGCGUAGGAUUAGAUAGUUGGUGGGGUAAUGGCCUACCAAGUCGACGAUCCUUAGCUGGUCUGAGAGGAUGAUCAGCCACACUGGGACUGAGACACGGCCCAGACUCCUACGGGAGGCAGCAGUGGGGAAUAUUGGACAAUGGGCGAAAGCCUGAUCCAGCAAUGCCGCGUGAGUGAUGAAGGCCUUAGGGUUGUAAAGCUCUUUUACCA